UAUGGUAGUUGUUGAUUGCAUCGGAUAUUCAACUGCCGCCUUGGAGGAAGAAAUAUUAGUCCGUUUUAACAAGAUCCACUCGGAGCUGUUGAUUGCAACAGAUUCAACCACUGCCUUGUUUUAUCUAAUAAGGGGGUUUCUUUGAUGAGUUUUGCUAAAUCUGGAUUUCUCUUUUGGUAGCUCACAUGUUUCGUGAAUCUAUGUUGAGUACCUCUGUUGGUUUCUUCAUUCUUCAGGGAGAGCAAGAUUUGUGGGGCCUGCAUUAGGAGACUGCAACCUUUCCUAUGAUUGUAGAAGGGGGCUAUGGAAUCGUCUUUAUCCAUCAAUUAAUAUCGGAUUUGCAGCAUGGUUUAUCGAUAA
Long non-coding RNA from Magnolia sinica, 360 nucleotides. RefSeq lists it as uncharacterized. The transcript is spliced from 2 exons. Lineage: Eukaryota; Viridiplantae; Streptophyta; Magnoliopsida; Magnoliales; Magnoliaceae. The record is from RefSeq and is a predicted model, not a curated record.